This is a long non-coding RNA of Homo sapiens (human), 222 nucleotides long. RefSeq lists it as uncharacterized. NCBI's taxonomy places the organism in Eukaryota, Metazoa, Chordata, Mammalia, Primates, Hominidae. The record is from RefSeq and is a predicted model, not a curated record. The transcript has 3 exons.
CUCACAGUGAAUUGCAGAGUCCCCUCAGAGGGCACGUGAACAUCUCCCAAUUUCUCCAAGGUACCCCUGUGUGCAACUCCUUCCUGCUCCUUUGCUGGAACUUUCUGCCAUCUGUGUCCUUAGGAGGAGCCUUUCUUCCAGGAGGACUGGACUUAGAGGAGGACCUGCCAUGAUGUCUGUAGCUGCUCCCUCAGCUUCUCUUGCCUCAUCAGCCUUCUGAGA